GUUCAGCUGAUGAGUCCCGAAUAGGACAAAACCCGCGUCCUGAAA
Molecule: non-coding RNA, 45 nt
Filed under: Schistosoma curassoni
Lineage: Eukaryota; Metazoa; Platyhelminthes; Trematoda; Strigeidida; Schistosomatidae
Source: RNAcentral